Molecule: ribosomal RNA, 465 nt
Filed under: uncultured bacterium
Lineage: Bacteria
Description: partial 16S ribosomal RNA
Rfam family: Bacterial small subunit ribosomal RNA
Source: RNAcentral
GACGAACGCUGGCGGCGUGCUUAACACAUGCAAGUCGUACGGUAAGGCCCUUUCGGGGGUACACGAGUGGCGCACGGGUGAGUAACACGUGAGUAACCUGCCCACAACUUUGGGAUAACGCUAGGAAACUGGUGCUAAUACUGGAUAUGUGCUCCUGCUGCAUGGUGGGGGUUGGAAAGCUCCGGCGGUUGUGGAUGGACUCGCGGCCUAUCAGCUUGUUGGUGGGGUAGUGGCCUACCAAGGCGGCGACGGGUAGCCGGCCUGAGAGGGUGACCGGCCACAUUGGGACUGAGAUACGGCCCAGACUCCUACGGGAGGCAGCAGUGGGGAAUAUUGCACAAUGGGCGCAAGCCUGAUGCAGCAACGCCGCGGGCGGGAUGACGGCCUUCGGGUUGUAAACCGCUUUCAGCAGGGACGAAGCUUUUUGUGACGGUACCUGCAGAAGAAGCACCGGCUAACUACGUG